GCGCCCUUCGUCUAUCGGUUAGGACACUAGCCUUUCACGCUGGAGAGACGGGUUCGAUUCCCGUAGGGCGUA
Molecule: transfer RNA, 72 nt
Filed under: Oharaeibacter diazotrophicus
Lineage: Bacteria; Pseudomonadati; Pseudomonadota; Alphaproteobacteria; Hyphomicrobiales; Pleomorphomonadaceae
Rfam family: tRNA
About the family: Transfer RNA (tRNA) molecules are approximately 80 nucleotides in length. Their secondary structure includes four short double-helical elements and three loops (D, anti-codon, and T loops).
Source: Rfam by way of RNAcentral